CUUGGAGGAAUGCAUAGCGAAAGCUAGUUACAUUACAGUAAUGUGGUGUAGCCUCGACUACGUCGAAUAAAGUUCCAAGUAGAUUUUUAUAAUGAAAUAAUCUACUUGUAAGUCUUGACCAAAUUACGUGCCAGCAGUCGCGGUAAUACGUAGAAGACCAGUGUUAUUCAUCUUUAAUAGGUUUAAAGGGUACUCAGACGGGGUAAGAGCGAAAGCUGUGAAUUAUGUAAUAACUGACGUUAAAGGACGAAGGCCUCGACGCAGCAAAUGGGAUUAGAUACCCCAGUAGCACAGCGCAGUAAAUGAUGAGUGUCAUAUAAUAGAUUUUUCUGUUGUAUAAAUGAAAGUGUAAGCACUCCACCUCAAGAGUAAUUUGGCAACAUUGGAACUGAAAUCAUUAGACCGUUUCUGAAACCAGUAGUGAAGUAUGUUGUUUAAUUAGAUGUUCCGCAAAAAACCUUACCACAAUUUGAAUAUAGAAAUUAUAAUUUCUGUACAAGCGCUGCACGGCUGUCUUCAGUUGAUGUCGUGAGAUUUUGGUUAGUUCCAUUAAAUCAACGUAAACCCUUACUUUAUUUAUUUAUAAAGUAGUUCGCCGUUAUAUAGGAAAUUAUAAUAGGGACUAAGACAAGUCAUCAUGGCCUUAAUAUUGUGGGCUAUAGACGUGCCACAUAAGCCUUACAAAGAGAUGCAAAAUUGCAAAAUUUAGCUAAUCUC
Molecule: ribosomal RNA, 717 nt
Filed under: Lopadium disciforme
Lineage: Eukaryota; Fungi; Ascomycota; Lecanoromycetes; Lecanorales; Lopadiaceae
Description: SSU rRNA
Rfam family: Bacterial small subunit ribosomal RNA
Source: RNAcentral